RNAcentral lists this long non-coding RNA (255 nucleotides) under Brassica napus (rape). Its description in RNAcentral is "long non-coding RNA (BNAP_LNC007576)". The record is from RNAcentral. Lineage: Eukaryota; Viridiplantae; Streptophyta; Magnoliopsida; Brassicales; Brassicaceae.
GUGGUAAACAAUUUAUUUUAACAUGAUUAGGGUUGUAAAUUUUGGUUUUUGACAUGAGUAGGUGGUAAAUAUUUUAUUUGUUUAUCUUAGAUGAACACGGUUGUGCCAAAUAGUUGAAAGAUGAAUCUCUUAUAAGAAUCUAACUAGAGUUUAAUUUGCACCAAGUAUUUUUUUUCAUUUUAUAAAUAUAUAAUUUUGAGAUUAUAUUAAGAUUUUAAAUAUAUGAUUAACAUUCUAGUGUUAUAUAUUGUAUAA